UACGAAGGGUCCAAGCGUUGUUCGGAAUCAUUGGGCGUAAAGCGCGCGCAGGCGGAUCAGAAAGUCAGAUGUGAAAUCUCGAAGCUCAACUUCGAAACUGCGUCUGAAACUUCUAGUCUAGAGUGUCGGAGGGGGUAGGGGAAUUUCACGUGUAGGGGUAAAAUCCGUAGAGAUGUGAAGGAACGACCGGAGGCGAAGGCGCCUACCUGGACGACUACUGACGCUGAGGCGCGAAAGCGUGGGGGAGCAAACAGG
RNAcentral lists this ribosomal RNA (255 nucleotides) under uncultured bacterium. RNAcentral describes it as "partial 16S ribosomal RNA". It matches the Rfam family "Bacterial small subunit ribosomal RNA", at positions 524 to 776 of the family's 1533-position model. The record is from RNAcentral.